UGUAGGGUUCUAGCAGAAUGCAACUUAUCUGCAAUGUUGGAGGAGGCAAAAAAAUAAGUUUGUCAGAUGUCAUCAUGGAGUCAGACCAUUGGUUUAUCUGACCCGAUAUCGCCAACUCAAAUUGGUGGCACUCCUCAAGAGUCUCAGUCUUACUUACCUGAGCUUUUAGCUGGAGAUGCUAGGAAUGGAAGCGGAGAUUUUCUUUUAGCAAGGUGCAUACUAUCUCCAAGCUACAGCUUGUCCCCAUAUAGACAUCAAGGGCCUUUCUAACCCAGUCUGUAUGUGUAGGUGGAAAUAGCUUGGAAUCCUAUAGAGCUGCAUUUUGAUAAGCCAUUGGUCUUUCUCUACUUCCUGGCCAUUCUCAGCAUUGGCCUGUUUCAUGGUGUCUUUUGUUUUUGCCCAGAAUUCCCUGCGAUCGUGACAACAUUGGCCGUUAUUGGCAAAUCUGCUCUUGCCGCUUCCUUUUCAACCAGUUAUGUCUUCUCUUCGGAGGUCUUCCCCACAGUCGUCAGGCAAACGGGGUUGGGAUUGUGCUCUAUGGCUGCUCGGGUGGCCGGCAUCCUCUCCCCGCUGGUUGGGCUCCUGGACAAGAUCCACCCGGCUAUUCCCAUGUCACUCUUGGGAGCCACGGCACUCCUUGGGGGUGGGCUUUGUUUCCUGCUGCCAGAGACCCGGAACAAAGACCUCCAAGAUGACACCACUGCCAAAUCCACCUUUGACAUGGGGUCCGAGAAGGUCGCCAAUGGUAGCUCUGAAAAAGGAAGGACAGAACAGAAGGAAGGUGGACAAAGCACAGAACCCACCAAGAGCACAUACUUCUAGUGGCAAAUAACAAAUCCCUGUGUAAUUCAAAAGAAUGGGACAUAGGGUUUUCUAGAGAGGAAAAUGUCCUUGGUUUUUUAAACUCUAGACUUCCCAACCUCAUGUUUUCUGGUUCUUCCAGAAAGUAUGGAGUCCAUCACAUCUAAGUGAUCCAGAAGGACCCUGCUUUUCCACUACGUUUUAAAAACACACUCAUUAGGAAAUAUUGCUGUUCCAUUAUACAGAAUCCCUUGGAAUAGAGUUAAAGAAACAGUCUUCUUUUUUGGAACAGUUGAUGUACUUCAAUGCAAAUCAGUGUUGAUCAAUGAACUCUAUGGCAGAGAUGUGCUUCCACAUGCUGCUGGACUUAAUUUCUAAUGUCCAUUCUCCAUUGGCUAUGCUAGUAAGAACAGCAUAAUAGCUGCCAUCUAUUAAUAUCUGGAGGGCCACAAGUUGCUCAGAUUUAAAGUAUUAUUUCUUGGCGAUAUGCCUACCCUUUCUACAUAUGUGUUUGUCUACCAUUUAUGGCAGAUAAUAUUAUUGGUACCAAAGAGUAUCCAACUUAUUCCUGGUCUCUGUCACUUUCUCCUAUAUCCAACAAUAGAUUCAUUCUAUUUUUUGCUCACAGCUAUCAUUCCAUCUAAAACACACACACACACCACUUUUAUAGUAUAUGCACUGUUCUAUAUUGCUAUCCUUUCAAUAAUAAUGUAUUUUUGGACCUGAGAGCUGCAUGACAAAUUUUGGAGACACACUCCAAAGGAGUAGUACAUGUAUUAGACUUGGAAGUAUGGAUUAGUUUACUUAGGAAAUAAAAACAAUCGUCCUGUA
Anolis sagrei ordinatus is the source of this 1632-nucleotide non-coding RNA. Lineage: Eukaryota; Metazoa; Chordata; Lepidosauria; Squamata; Anolidae. The record is from RefSeq and is a predicted model, not a curated record.